RNAcentral lists this ribosomal RNA (285 nucleotides) under Rhodosorus marinus. RNAcentral describes it as "partial Bacterial small subunit ribosomal RNA". It matches the Rfam family "Bacterial small subunit ribosomal RNA", at positions 424 to 701 of the family's 1533-position model. The record is from RNAcentral. Lineage: Eukaryota; Rhodophyta; Stylonematophyceae; Stylonematales; Stylonemataceae.
UGUAAAGCACUUUAAGUUGUGAAGAAGGCUGUACGGUUAAUAGCCGUGCGGAUUGACAUUAGCAACAGAAUAAGCACCGGCUAACUCCGUGCCAGCAGCCGCGGUAAUACGGAGGGUGCAAGCGUUAAUCGGAAUUACUGGGCGUAAAGCGCACGUAGGCGGCUUUGUAAGUAAGAGGUGAAAGCCCAGAGCUCAACUCUGGAAUUGCCUUUUAGACUGCAUCGCUCGAAUCAUGGAGAGGUCAGUGGAAUUCCGAGUGUAGAGGUGAAAUUCGUAGAUAUUCGG